GACAGAGGAUGCAAGCGUUAUCCGGAAUGAUUGGGCGUAAAGCGUCUGUAGGUGGUUUUUUAAGUCUGCCGUCAAAUCCCAGGGCUUAACCCUGGACAGGCGGUGGAAACUACCAAGCUGGAGUACGGUAGGGGCAGGGGGAAUUUCCGGUGGAGCGGUGAAAUGCGUAGAGAUCGGAAAGAACACCAACGGCGAAAGCACUCUGCUGGGCCGACACUGACACUGAGAGACGAAAGCUAGGGGAGCGAAUGGG
This 253-nucleotide ribosomal RNA is filed under the name uncultured bacterium. Its description in RNAcentral is "partial 16S ribosomal RNA". It matches the Rfam family "Bacterial small subunit ribosomal RNA", at positions 524 to 776 of the family's 1533-position model. The record is from RNAcentral.